This 424-nucleotide ribosomal RNA is filed under the name Verrucomicrobiota bacterium. Its description in RNAcentral is "Verrucomicrobia bacterium partial 16S ribosomal RNA". It matches the Rfam family "Bacterial small subunit ribosomal RNA", at positions 355 to 776 of the family's 1533-position model. Lineage: Bacteria; Pseudomonadati; Verrucomicrobiota. The record is from RNAcentral.
UGAGGAAUAUUGGUCAAUGGACGAGAGUCUGAACCAGCCAAGUAGCGUGCAGGAUGACGGCCCUAUGGGUUGUAAACUGCUUUUGUUUGGGAAUAAUCGACAUUACGUGUAAUGUUUUGCAUGUACCAUUCGAAUAAGGACCGGCUAAUUCCGUGCCAGCAGCCGCGGUAAUACGGAAGGUCCAGGCGUUAUCCGGAUUUAUUGGGUUUAAAGGGGGUGUAGGCGGUUGGUUAAGCGUGUUGUGAAAUGUAGAUGCUCAACAUCUGACUUGCAGCGCGAACUGGCUGACUUGAGUACACACAACGUAGGCGGAAUUCAUGGUGUAGCGGUGAAAUGCUUAGAUAUCAUGAAGAACUCCGAUUGCGAAGGCAGCUUACGGGAGUGUUACUGACGCUUAAGCUCGAAGGUGCGGGUAUCGAACAGG